Small nucleolar RNA from Mangifera indica (mango), 98 nucleotides. RefSeq annotates it as small nucleolar RNA SNORD24. The transcript has a single exon. The record is from RefSeq and is a predicted model, not a curated record. NCBI's taxonomy places the organism in Eukaryota, Viridiplantae, Streptophyta, Magnoliopsida, Sapindales, Anacardiaceae.
GGCCUGUGAUGUCAGAAAAAUAUUUGCUACUCUUGAUGUGGGGUGUUUUCCUUCAUCCUCCAUCUGAUGAUUUUUUAUCCACCAAGAUCUCUGAGGCC